GAUGAACGCUGGCGGCGUGCCUAAUACAUGCAAGUCGAGCGAACAGACGAGGAGCUUGCUCCUCUGACGUUAGCGGCGGACGGGUGAGUAACACGUGGAUAACCUACCUAUAAGACUGGGAUAACUUCGGGAAACCGGAGCUAAUGCCGGAUAAUAUAUUGAACCACAUGGUUCAAUAGUGAAAGACGGUUUUGCUGUCACUUAUAGAUGGAUCCGCGCCGCAUUAGCUAGUUGGUAAGGUAACGGCUUACCAAGGCGACGAUGCGUAGCCGACCUGAGAGGGUGAUCGGCCACACUGGAACUGGGACACGGUCCAGACGCCUACGGGAGGCAGCAGUAGGGAAUCUUCCGCAAUGGGCGAAAGCCUGACGGAGCAACGCCGCGUGAGUGAUGAAGGUCUUCGGAUCGUGAAACUCUGUUAUUAGGGAAGAACAAAUGUGUAAGUAACUAUGCACGUCUUGACGGUACCUAAUCAGAAAGCCACGGCUAACUACGUG
Molecule: ribosomal RNA, 497 nt
Filed under: uncultured bacterium
Lineage: Bacteria
Description: partial 16S ribosomal RNA
Rfam family: Bacterial small subunit ribosomal RNA
Source: RNAcentral